Molecule: long non-coding RNA, 406 nt
Organism: Salarias fasciatus (jewelled blenny)
Lineage: Eukaryota; Metazoa; Chordata; Actinopteri; Blenniiformes; Blenniidae
Exons: 3
Source: RefSeq, a predicted model, not a curated record
GUUCUUUCAAUAACUUUCAUUUGGUUUAAUUACAAGCCCAUUAAAUAGAAAUACAGCUGGUUUUUGUUGGGUUUCUGUAUUUCUCUGCAGGCCUGGUGGAGGCUGCUUUCAUAUUCAUAAUCUUUGACUCUGUCUUAAAUAUUUCACAGGUUCCUUGCAGAUUAAAAAAAAAAAAAAAAAAAAUCCAGACACAUGAAUCAUUACCUAUGCUCACAUGCAGGGUACAAGGUAAUUACAGCCAGGAGAAACACGCUGACCCUUCAACCCGAAAAGCUGCUGAUGCUAAUGCAGCCCAACGAUUCAGACGCACUCAGACUGAUUUCAUAAUCUUGUUUUUGCUCAUAAACCUCGAUGCAGACGGGCCGCAGCUGGAGAAGAGAAAAUCCGCACUCAGUGUAGUUUUUAU